GAUGAACGCUGGCGGCGUGUCUAAGGCAUGCAAGUCGAACGAAACCUUCGGGUUGAGUGGCAAACGGGUGAGUAUCGCGUUGGUAACCUACCCCUUCGUCGAGCAUAACAGGGAGAAAUCCCUGCUAAUACUCGAUAGUCUCGUCUCCCAUAUGGGCUGACGAGUAAAGUUUUUUCGCGAAGGGAGGGGCCUACGUCCUAUCAGCUUGUUGGUGAGGUAAUGGCUCACCAAGGCUAUGACGGGUAACUGGUCUGAGAGGAUGACCAGUCACAUUGGGACUGAGACACUGCCCAA
Molecule: ribosomal RNA, 294 nt
Filed under: uncultured bacterium
Lineage: Bacteria
Description: partial 16S ribosomal RNA
Rfam family: Bacterial small subunit ribosomal RNA
Source: RNAcentral